GAUGAAGAACGCAGCGAAAUGCGAUACGUAAUGUGAAUUGCAGAAUUCAGUGAAUCAUCGAAUCUUUGAACGCAUAUUGCGCUCUCUGGUAUUCCGGAGAGCAUGCUUGUUUGAGUAUCAGUAAACACCUCAACUUCCAUAUCUUUUUUGAAAUGGGAGUUGGACUUGAGUGAUCCCAACGCUUUUCCUCACCGAAAAGUGGCGGGUUACUUGAAAUGCAGGUGCAGCUGGACUUUUCUCUGAGCUAUAAGCAUAUCUAUUUAGUCUGCCUAAAAAACAGAUUAUUACCUUUGCUGCAGCUAACAUAAAGGAGAUUAGUUCUUGUGCUGACUGACGCAGGAUUCACAAAGACAGGCUUCGGCCGACUUUGUAAACUCGAUCUCAAAUCAAGUAAGACUACCCGCUGAACUUAAGCAUAUCAAUAAGCGGAGGA
This 433-nucleotide unclassified non-coding RNA is filed under the name soil metagenome. Its description in RNAcentral is "partial contains 5.8S ribosomal RNA, internal transcribed spacer 2, and large subunit ribosomal RNA". The stretch from base 1 to 120 matches the Rfam family "5.8S ribosomal RNA", at positions 35 to 154 of the family's 154-position model. The record is from RNAcentral.